RNAcentral lists this signal recognition particle RNA (299 nucleotides) under Callithrix jacchus (white-tufted-ear marmoset). Its description in RNAcentral is "Metazoan signal recognition particle RNA (ENSCJAG00000078475.1)". It matches the Rfam family "Metazoan signal recognition particle RNA". From Rfam's summary of the family: The signal recognition particle (SRP) is a universally conserved ribonucleoprotein. It is involved in the co-translational targeting of proteins to membranes. Lineage: Eukaryota; Metazoa; Chordata; Mammalia; Primates; Cebidae. The record is from Rfam by way of RNAcentral.
GCCAGGCGCGGUGGCGCAUGCCUGUAGCCCAACUACUCAGGAGGCUGAGGCUGGAGGAUCUCUUGAGUCCAGGAGUUCUGGGCUGUAGUGCGCUAUGCUGAUUGGGUGUCCACACUAAGUUCGGCAUCGAUAUGGUGACCUCCUGGGAGUGGGGGACCACCAGGUUGCCUAAGGAGGGGUGAACCAGCCCAGGUUGGAAACGGAGCAGGUCAAAACUCCCUUGCUGAUCAGUAGUGGGAUAGCAUCUGUGAAUAGCCACUGCACUCCAGCCUGGGCAACAUAGCAAGACCCCUUCUCUA